AAUAAGUGCAGUCGUGGGAAUCUGUGUCCAAAGUUUGACCGUCCGUCUUAUUUGAAAAAUUUAUGAGAAAAUUAAAAAAAAGUUAGUCACACAUAAAGUACUAUUCAUGUUUUAUCAUCUAGUAACAAUAAAAAUAUUAAUCGUAAAAAAAUUUCAAAUAAGAUGAACGGUCAAACGUUAAACAUAAAUAGUGUAAAACUACACUUAUU
This 209-nucleotide microRNA precursor is filed under the name Oryza sativa Japonica Group (Japanese rice). RNAcentral describes it as "MIR812 microRNA precursor family". It matches the Rfam family "MIR812 microRNA precursor family". The record is from Rfam by way of RNAcentral. Lineage: Eukaryota; Viridiplantae; Streptophyta; Magnoliopsida; Poales; Poaceae.